GAUGAACGCUGGCGGCGUGCUUAACACAUGCAAGUCGAACGGUGAAGCAGGAGCUUGCUCUUGUGGAUCAGUGGCGAACGGGUGAGUAACACGUGAGCAACCUGCCCCGGACUCUGGGAUAAGCGCUGGAAACGGCGCCUAAUACUGGCUAUUUGAUGUGACCGCAUGGUCUGCAUCUGGAAAGAAUUUCGGUUGGGGAUGGGCUCGCGGCCUAUCAGCUUGUUGGUGAGGUAAUGGCUCACCAAGGCGUCGACGGGUAGCCGGCCUGAGAGGGUGACCGGCCACACUGGGACUGAGACACGGCCCAGACUCCUACGGGAGGCAGCAGUGGGGAAUAUUGCACAAUGGGCGGAAGCCUGAUGCAGCAACGCCGCGUGAGGGAUGACGGCCUUCGGGUUGUAAACCUCUUUUAGCAGGGAAGAAGCGAAAGUGACGGUACCUGCAGAAAAAGCACCGGCUAACUACGUGCCAGCCGCCGCCGUAA
RNAcentral lists this ribosomal RNA (484 nucleotides) under uncultured bacterium. Its description in RNAcentral is "partial 16S ribosomal RNA". It matches the Rfam family "Bacterial small subunit ribosomal RNA", at positions 28 to 523 of the family's 1533-position model. The record is from RNAcentral.